RNAcentral lists this transfer RNA (70 nucleotides) under Tetraserica leishanica. Its description in RNAcentral is "tRNA-Gln". Lineage: Eukaryota; Metazoa; Arthropoda; Insecta; Coleoptera; Scarabaeidae. The record is from RNAcentral.
UAUAAUUUAGUAUAAGAAUGUACACUAAUUUUUGGAGUUAGAAGAAGUGAUUUAAUUUCAUUAAUUAUAA